Camelus dromedarius (Arabian camel) is the source of this 120-nucleotide small nuclear RNA. Lineage: Eukaryota; Metazoa; Chordata; Mammalia; Artiodactyla; Camelidae. The record is from Ensembl.
AGUAUAAUGCUUACUUUGGCAGCACAUAUACUACGUAUUACAACUGGAAAAACACAGAGAAGAUUAGCAUGGCCCCUGCGAAAGGAUGACAUGAAAAUUUGUGAAGUGUCCAUAUUUUUU